Molecule: long non-coding RNA, 5716 nt
Filed under: Chlamydomonas reinhardtii
Lineage: Eukaryota; Viridiplantae; Chlorophyta; Chlorophyceae; Chlamydomonadales; Chlamydomonadaceae
Description: long non-coding RNA (CREI_LNC001357)
Source: RNAcentral
UGCUGGCAACUGGGGCGAUGGUGUCCGUUUUGAAUAGUUCAGAAGAUGCCGUAUAGCUAUUUUCAACAAAGUAGACCAUUUAUGGCACCACAUUGGCGCGCGUAGAGCGGGCCGAGGCAAGAAGCAGGACGCGGGCUUUCGGCACGAGGACUGACCUGGCCGGAAAUUCGGUGCAGCAUUCUAUCGGAGCCUUUGCAAAUCGGUCAGCAGGUUGCGGCAAAUGGCGAGCGUGUCUGCACCGUUCUCCGACUUUCGUUCACGUCCGCGGGCCUUUCAACUGCUGCGAGCAAGGUUGCGACGCGUGUGUUCACAGGCUGUGUGGCCCGCGUGAAAUGACAGUGUCCAUGUACAUAUUGUUACGCGGCGAGCUCGCAUCAGCUAUGCGGCGUCAUCCAUCCACGGACUGUGACCUUCCUCUGCCCGCCGGCCCCUGGUUUUUGGGAUUGGGGAAAACUACCCCCUCUGUACCCUGCCCACCAGACCCCCCUCCACUCGCAACACUCGCAGCAUCCGGCCCGUACCGCUGCAACCCGCGCUGCCCCCCUGACACCGUGGCCUGCCACAGGCCGGCAAGUUCUUCCGUGACGACUACGUGGGCGCGGUGUCGGGCUGCACCGCCGAGGACGCCCACGAGGCAGCCCUGGAGGCAGACAUGGCGGCGGCCCGGGCGCGCAGCUUCGAGGUGCGUCAAUGCGCAGCGGGGGGCUAGCUGCUGGGGCUGCUGCGGGGGCUGCUGCCGGCGGGGCCAUCGGGGUAAGGGUGGUGAAGCAGAUGAUAGGGCCGCGUGGGGCUGGGCAGGGGCAGGGGCAGGGGGCUGGGCAGGGGCAGCGGUGUUUGCCGAAUGACAAUGGCACGGAAGCGACAUGGGUACGGCAAGUCGCCGGGUGGAUGGCGCAGACGCGUUAACUUCCGCUGUGCUCACGCCCACGUCUUAACCACACCGCGGCACAACACCGCGCUGGGGCCCCGGCCGCAACCUCAGCCGGCACAGCGGUACCAAUGCGCCAUGGCGCGCUCCCCACCUCCGCCGCCAUCUCCACCUCCCUGCCAUCUUCACGUCCGGGCCCGCCGAGCAGCAGAGGUGCAUUAGCGAAGGAACCUCGUUAGCAUGGUCCGUCGGGGCAUGCGCCGUGCAGCAUGGAUAUCUGAGGGCACGUGACACCCAUGCAGGUUUUCGCGCAGCCCGGUCACAAUUGCUGUCCUUCCCACGGCCAGUACAUUGUGCCCCUGUGAGAAAGUGCGGAACGCAAGGUAGUGCAGAGCAUCGGAGCGCAUGCAUUGCGCAGCUGCGGAUACGGUUGCGGUUGCAGUUACAACUGCGGAUGCGGCGGCACCAGCGCCAUUGCUCCGAGCGGUGACAUGUGUGCAGCUCCGUCCUCAAAGUCCAUGUUCUGUGUGUGUACCGGACGCAGGAAGUGCCUCGUGUGCUCGACACGGGGGCGGGCGUUGCACCAACUGAUGCCGCACGGCGUGACGCGGCAGCUGGCCGGCAAUGAUGAGCCGCUCGCGUCCGCCGCCGCCGCCGCCAACAGCGCCGCCGCGGCCGCCUCUGCAACCGACUCAGCCUCUGAUGACCCGACUCUGCGGUGGCGAUGCCAAGUGGUGGCGGCGGCGGCGGCGGCGGCCGCGGCGCGGGGCGGGGCGUGCCGGCAGAGGUAGCAGAGGAGGAGCUGCGAUAUGGUAUGGGCGCGGGCGGCGGAAUGGACGCGGGCGUGAACCCGUGCCUCAUGUGGCCGGGCGCGUGCUCCCUCAUGCCCUUCACGAACAUCCAGGUACGGUACCUGGGGGCGGCUGGGGUGGUGGGUGCAAGGUUAAAAACAUUGGGAACAGGAUACCGGGGCGGGGAGGCUGGGCAUGGGUGGGCAGACAGGCGCUUGAACAAGCCCUGUCACCUGGCCAUGCCGUCGCGUGUGUUAAGGUCCAUUGACGCCGUGGGCAUAGCGGCGAUGGCGCGGGUCCCCUUGGCCGCACGCUGCAGGGCAUGUCACUCGUUUCCACCAUGCGCUUGACCACCUGUGCUGUUGCACGCGAGUAAACAAUCCGCUGAAAGGGCGCUGUCUGCUUGAUCUGCUUAGUGUGCUUAGUCUGCUUUAUGCGCUGCUUGGAUUGCUGUGUGUUGCAGGCGGUGGCCGCGGACCCAUGGUGUCGGCGCGCGUGGAUGCGGGCAGGGUAGGCAAGGCAACGCAUGCGAUAUCCGUAACGGCAGGAAGGUCUGGUACUGGUGUGGCGGCACUGCUGAUGACAACCAUUCCAUGCGACAGUUUGUUGAGUUGGUUCAGUGAUAACAGUAAUUGUCUAUUGAUACUGUCACAAAAUACGUGGUAUCAUACAAUGGUCCGGGGCAUACAGCGCUGGUGGUCAAAGGGAAGCAAGAUGAUGACAAGGAGCGUCCUGCCGUGCAGGUUGGAGGUGUUGACUUGAUUUGAGCAUCUUGCGUAGCGUGCACAAGUUGCGGCGGAUAGGGGCUAUAGUGUUAACUGUAGCAUGCUAGCUGAGUGGCUGCGCAAAAGAACAAGGCCAGAGGCGGGUAAGGAGGCCAGCCAGGACAGUGGAGGAGCCAGGACAGCGCGAGUGUUGCCUUGCUUCGGCAUCGUCUUCUUAAAGUUGUUUUACUGAAUGGCAGGAAGAUUGGUUGUCUGCACCACUGUAGUAGUCUGAUGUUGAUGCCUAGGUGCUUGAGGAGGUGCUGCUGGCCAAAGCGGGGGACGGAAUGGGGCGACAGGUUCCGCCUCCGAGCAUGCCCACCAUGUGUUACCGGUGACCGGUCGCCCACUCGCCCUUCAAUCUUAGAGCUCAUACUCGGCAAGGCUUACCAAUGAUGGUUUCACAUGUCACAUUGAUAAGGGCUCGCGAGCUCGGUGAACUCACUUUCAACCUCCGUGCAUAGCCUCGAUUGUAGCAUGCACAUACAGUAAACGUCAGUUACCUAAAGAAUAUCGAGGCACGGUCACAUUACUAUCUAGACUCCGAGGCUAAAGUGUCGCCGCGCAGCACGCCGAUGGAAGAGUCGCCUGCCGCAUCCCUGAGCGAUGUGCUCAAUUGGCGGUCGCUGCGAUGGAACGACGGCUGUACGUAAGUAUAUGGUCGUAAGCAACGGCGGAACAGCCCGUAGCUGAUAGCGCGGGCCAGGCCUUUUAUACUCAACGACUCCUCCGUCGCGCCGCCCACCCCGCCCCCCGCGCAACCUGGCACACACCUGCACUCCAUGCCCACCUUCAUUUGUGCACACUGCUCCCGCACACCUGCAGCUAUGACGGCCUUGAGGCGCGCGGCGCCUGCGAGUCUCACGGCGUGGUGACGUGGCCGGGCCGGAGGGAGCGCUACGAGGGACAGCUGGUCGGCAGCCGGCCGCACGGCCACGGCGCCUACCGCUGGCGGGACGGCACGUGAGUGACAUACGUUAGGUAUAGCUGGGUGGCUUUCUUAUAGCGGGGGGCUUGGAAGGGACAGUGCGUCAAGGGCAAACAGGGGUUACGUGGCGUAGAGGGGUUACUGCGGGGCUGCAGGACUGGCGGCGGCAUGGCGGCAUGGCGGGUUGGCGAAUGCUGGUUGCCUUUACGCGUGCCUAGCCCGCCACCUGGGGGCUGCCUGCUUGAUGUCUCGCUCCCCUGACGUACCGUAUCUGCCAGGCCGCUUAUUGCCCUCCCCUGUAUGACAUCUACUCCACGCAUCUACCCCUCGACACCCGCCUCGCUGAGUCACCGGCGACUACCGCCACCCCACGACCCGCUCACCGCUCCAGGCUGUAUCGCGGCGAGUGGUACGCGGGCCACAUGCACGGCUGCGGCGUGCUCAUCUGGCGGGAUGCACAGGGCGAGGUGCAGGCGCAGGUGGGCUUGAGUGAUUGCUUGGGCGUGCGUUUGCGUGUGUAGCGUACUCGGCUAUGUCUGUGUGUUAAAGAGCACAAGGACACAUGUCUGUGUGUGUUCGCGUGGUGUCGCACAUGCACACGGCCGUGUGGCCGUAUGUAUGGCUAGCGUAAGAGUGCGGCCGUGUUCAUAGGCCAGAUGCAUCUUACAUUGCACGGCUUGUACCGUGGCAGCAUCCAAACCAGCGGGCUUGAGUACACAGCGGCAUUCGGGGUUGCGUCCCACUUCACAUUUCUUGUGCCUUGCAGUGCCUUGUGGCAUGACUGCCUGAGCUAUCAAAGCAAAGGACAGACCAUUCAACGCCCAAAGGCCUAGUUGAGUGGGCCAGCGGACUGCAGACCCCCUCCGCUAUCCAACCGACACAACAAAGCCACAGUCCUACCGCUUGCCGCGAACAGACCCAAAUUACCAUUAUGCCGGUAGUCCUAGCGCCCGCCCUAUAGCGCUGCACAAGUUACGUGACGCCAUCGAACAUUUGUGCGAAAUGCCUAGGCUGCCUGCGUAAACGCUCAACACAACGCCACGACGCCACACCCUCCCCAGAAGAAAGCCCCCGCCCACGCAGCCUUCUCUGCGACGUGCCCCACAGCCCUACCUACGGCCACCUCUUCUGCCUGUCCUCGAAGGGCUGGGGCCCGUCAACCAUGCAGACCAGGAUCCCAAUCAUGUUGCUGACGGCGUUGCAGGCUUGCAUGGCAGGCCCAAACAACAAAAGACCCAGCGCGUUCGCGGACCCAGCGGAGUGGGGCAGGCCCGCCGCUGCACUGAUGUACCAGGUCAUCCCGGCCCACAGCACGAAGAGGAAGAACUCCGUGCCCUGCAUGCGAUGGUCCAUGUCACGAGGGGGGGGGUCCGGGCAAUGCCAGGCAGGCAGGCAGGGGUUGGCACGAUUGCAGCUCUGCGUGGGUCGCGGUGGGUCACGUGUAGCAGGGGGUUGCAAGAGUCCAUGCCAGGGUGCUGCGAAGCACGCGGCUGGGUAAAGACGGCGGCGGCACAUGCCAUGACCAUGGCACAUGCCCCACUACUCACCAGCUGGCUUCGGAGUACAGACAGGGUCUUGGCUCGCUUCGCCUCCUCCUGGGCAGCCGCCUCCUGCGCCUCAGCAGCCUGCGGCUGGGGCACACGCAUGCCCUGCUGCUCGUGCGCGCCGGCGCGGGCUGUAGUGCUGCGCGCGAAAGCGGGGCGCGGCGCCGCCGCCGCCACGGGCACGGCAGCGAGGCAGCCGCCGGCACGACGUGGGUAGGGGGCCUGCAUGUGCACAAGCGCAAACAAGGCACCAAAGCUUAGGUCGACGAUGUGGUCAGUGGCAGGGACACGGGCGGGGGGCGUUGGCGUCCGUUUUGAGGAGUCGGGCGAUGCCGUAUAGCUAUUUUGGACAAAGUAGACCAUUUAUGGCACCACACUGGCGCGCGUAGAGCGGGCCGAGGCAAGAAGCAGGACGCGGGCUUUCGGCACGAGGACUGACCUGGCCGGAAAUUCGGUGCAGCAUUCUAUCGGAGCCUUUGCAAAUCGGUCAGCAGGUUGCGGCAGAUGGCGAGCGUGGCUGCACCGUUCUCCGACAUGCGUUCACGUCCGCAAGCCGUUCGUCCGAUCUUUCGGCCUUUCAAAUGUUGCGAGGCGUGUGUUCACAGGCUGUGUGGCCUGCGUGAAAUGACAGUGUCCAUGUACAUAUUGUUACGCCGCGAGCUCGCAUCAGCUAUGCGGCGUCAUACACGCACUGUGACCUUCCUCUACCCCCCGGCCCCUGGUUCUGGGUCUUGGAAUUGGGGACAACUACCCCCUCUGUACCCUGCCCACCAGACCCCCCUCCACUCGCAACACUCACAACAUCCGGCCCGUACGGCUGU